GGCCUAACACAUGCAAGUCGAGCGGUAGAGAGAAGCUUGCUUCUCUUGAGAGCGGCGGACGGGUGAGUAAUGCCUAGGAAUCUGCCUGGUAGUGGGGGAUAACGUUCGGAAACGGACGCUAAUACCGCAUACGUCCUACGGGAGAAAGCAGGGGACCUUCGGGCCUUGCGCUAUCAGAUGAGCCUAGGUCGGAUUAGCUAGUUGGUGAGGUAAUGGCUCACCAAGGCGACGAUCCGUAACUGGUCUGAGAGGAUGAUCAGUCACACUGGAACUGAGACACGGUCCAGACUCCUACGGGAGGCAGCAGUGGGGAAUAUUGGACAAUGGGCGAAAGCCUGAUCCAGCCAUGCCGCGUGUGUGAAGAAGGUCUUCGGAUUGUAAAGCACUUUAAGUUGGGAGGAAGGGCAGUUACCUAAUACGUGAUUGUUUUGACGUUACCGACAGAAUAAGCACCGGCUAACUCUGUGCCAGCAGCCGCGGUAAUACAGAGGGUGCAAGCGUUAAUCGGAAUUACUGGGCGUAAAGCGCGCGUAGGUGGUUAGUUAAGUUGGAUGUGAAAUCCCCGGGCUCAACCUGGGAACUGCAUUCAAAACUGACUGACUAGAGUAUGGUAGAGGGUGGUGGAAUUUCCUGUGUAGCGGUGAAAUGCGUAGAUAUAGGAAGGAACACCAGUGGCGAAGGCG
Molecule: ribosomal RNA, 683 nt
Filed under: Pseudomonas sp.
Lineage: Bacteria; Pseudomonadati; Pseudomonadota; Gammaproteobacteria; Pseudomonadales; Pseudomonadaceae
Description: bacterial SSU rRNA
Rfam family: Bacterial small subunit ribosomal RNA
Source: RNAcentral